GACGAACGCUGGCGGCGUGCUUAACACAUGCAAGUCGAGCGGUAAGGCCCUUUCGGGGGUACGACGAGCGGCGAACGGGUGAGUAACACGUGGGUGACCUGCCCUUAGCUCUGGGAUAAGCCUGGGAAACUGGGUCGUAAUACCGGAUAUGACUCCAUAACGCAUGUUGUGGGGUGGAAAGCCUUGUGCGGCUAGGGAUGGGCCCGCGGCCUAUCAGCUUGUUGGUGGGGUGAUGGCCUACCAAGGCGACGACGGUAGCCGGCCUGAGAGGGCGACCGGCCACACUGGGACUGAGACACGGCCCAGACUCCUACGGGAGGCAGCAGUGGGGAAUCUUGCGCAAUGGGCGAAAGCCUGACGCAGCGACGCCGCGUGGGGAUGACGGCCUCGGUU
Molecule: ribosomal RNA, 393 nt
Filed under: uncultured bacterium
Lineage: Bacteria
Description: bacterial SSU rRNA
Rfam family: Bacterial small subunit ribosomal RNA
Source: RNAcentral